Molecule: ribosomal RNA, 422 nt
Filed under: uncultured bacterium
Lineage: Bacteria
Description: bacterial SSU rRNA
Rfam family: Bacterial small subunit ribosomal RNA
Source: RNAcentral
UAAGGAAUAUUGGACAAUGGAGGCAACUCUGAUCCAGCCAUGCCGCGUGAAGGAAUAAGGCCCUAUGGGUUGUAAACUUCUUUUAGACGGGACAAAACCCCUUUACGUGUAAAGGGUUCAUGGUACUGUCAGAAUAAGCAUCGGCUAACUUCGUGCCAGCAGCCGCGGUAAUACGAAGGAUGCAAGCGUUAUCCGGAACUAUUGGGUUUAAAGGGUGCGUAGGCGGACUAAUAAGUCAGUGGUGAAAGCCUAGAGCUUAACUGCAGAAUUGCCAUUGAUACUGUUAGUCUGGAGUACAGUAGAGGUAGGCGGAAUGUGUCAUGUAGCGGUGAAAUGCUUAGAUAUGACACAGAACACCGGUUGCGAAGGCAGCUUGCUAAGCUGUAACUGACGCUGAGGCUCGAAAGCGUGGGGAGCAAACA